RNAcentral lists this ribosomal RNA (443 nucleotides) under uncultured bacterium. RNAcentral's name for it is "partial 16S ribosomal RNA". It matches the Rfam family "Bacterial small subunit ribosomal RNA", at positions 338 to 795 of the family's 1533-position model. The record is from RNAcentral.
CCUACGGGUGGCAGCAGUGGGGGAUAUUGCACAAUGGGGGGAACCCUGAUGCAGCGACGCCGCGUGAGGGAAGACGGCCUUCGGGUUGUAAACCUCUGUCGCAGGGGACGAAGAAAAUGACAGUACCUGACUAAGAAGCCCCGGCUAACUACGUGCCAGCAGCCGCGGUAAUACGUAGGGGGCAAGCGUUAUCCGGAUUUACUGGGUGUAAAGGGAGCGUAGACGGCUGCGCAAGUCAGAAGUGAAAGCCCGGGGCUCAACCGCGGGACUGCUUUUGAAACUGUGUAGCUAGAGUGCAGGAGAGGUAAGUGGAAUUCCUAGUGUAGCGGUGAAAUGCGUAGAUAUUAGGAGGAACACCGGUGGCGAAGGCGGCUUACUGGACUGUAACUGACGUUGAGGCUCGAAAGCGUGGGGAGCAAACAGGAUUAGAUACCCGAGUAGUC